AAUUAUCAAAAUAAAUCUUUCGUUCACUCGAUCGAUUUUAUUUUGGACUUGGGGGUCUGCAGAUUCACGUCUGCUCCCCUUGAAUUCAUUAGCUGGAUCACUGUAGACUCGGUUCCACUCGGCGUGAUAAGUAUCACUCGCUGAGGACACCCGUAAAAAAGGUGGCCGGGAUUACUAGAGAACCGCUUCUAAUAGUCCAUUAGCUUGGACAAUCACACUUAUG
This 223-nucleotide unclassified non-coding RNA is filed under the name uncultured Ceratobasidium. RNAcentral's name for it is "partial internal transcribed spacer 2". Lineage: Eukaryota; Fungi; Basidiomycota; Agaricomycetes; Cantharellales; Ceratobasidiaceae. The record is from RNAcentral.